GGGCAGUUAGCUCAGCGGUAGAGCAUUGUCCUCACACGACAAGGGUCACAGGUUCAAAUCCUGUACUGCCCA
Molecule: non-coding RNA, 72 nt
Organism: Elusimicrobia bacterium GWA2_66_18
Lineage: Bacteria; Pseudomonadati; Elusimicrobiota
Source: Rfam